GCAAGGACCUAAAAUUUUGCCUAAAGUCUGGCCCAUUCCCCCCUCUACAGUUUCAUAUGAUGAUGUUUAUGGAUCUGCGCAGGUGGGGUGAGUUUAUCAUGAGAAUGUCCGUUGGAGGUUCCAAAGUCAGUUCUGGGUCCGGAUUCCUCAUUGUCGGGUUCAUUAUGGGUUCAUUAUGAGUACAUAAUUCCCUAUCUGUGGGUUGAAAGGACGCUAAAUAUCUAUGGAGCUUUUCAAGAGAUUCGGAGGACAGAUAAGUAUGAAUUUCUUGUCAUAUUUCUCGUUGUAUAUCAUCACUUUUUAACUCUUUUAGAACCAUUAUUUCUGUUCGAGUUUCUCGCAUUUCCUCGAGAGCUUCUUCUAUUUCCUGAGUAGUUAUACGUAUUGUUCUUAGAUGAAUUGAGUUUAAAAUAUUGGGUACCUUCUUGAUGAAAUGUUCCCGCUUCCUGCGUCAUACCCUGCACUUGCCAAUGGUGGUAGAGUGGGUCGAUAUCCUUGAAGUUGGGCAUUAAUGGCGGUAUCGACAUGGAUGGACCCUCCCAUCUGGUAUGGCUGUUGCAUUGGCCCCACAGUCGGCGUCUCCCAGAUUGGGACAUUGAAGAAGGGUAAUGUUAGAAGCUGGUAGUGCAUUGGUGGUUGGAGAACCGUUGAUAUCCAUAGAUGCUGAUUGUAUGUUUCCAUUGCUCUCCUCAUCACAUCCGCCGCGAAGAUGGCUAGGACUGUCGGGUCUUGAAGGAGAAGCAUCAUCUCCCCGUGACCCGUUUGAACCUGGAGUGCAAUGGACUGCUCUUGAAGGCACCUUUCCAUCCAAGAGUUGGGGUUGGGGUUCUGUGGGAUUUGUGGAGUGGAGUAAACUGGCAUCUUUCCAGCAGGUAGGCCCAUUACCGAUACUAGUUGAAUGGGAGGUAGCAUCGUUUGAGUACGGAUAGUGUUCAUGUUGUAGAAGAACUAGGGGUUGGAGUUUUGAGUGUUUGAUCGUUGAGAAGUCAGAGGUCUCCUUCACUAUAAACUCCAGCUUUGUGUUGUAGCUAGUAAGAUUAUCUAAUAACAUACAAACACAUACAUGUACAUUGUAAAAUAGAGUUUUAUAUUCUAUUGUAGUGUACUAUUUAAUAAAACAGAG
RNAcentral lists this long non-coding RNA (1123 nucleotides) under Capsicum annuum. RNAcentral describes it as "long non-coding RNA (CANN_LNC003873)". Lineage: Eukaryota; Viridiplantae; Streptophyta; Magnoliopsida; Solanales; Solanaceae. The record is from RNAcentral.